This 3121-nucleotide ribosomal RNA is filed under the name Streptomyces tubercidicus. RNAcentral describes it as "Bacterial large subunit ribosomal RNA". It matches the Rfam family "Bacterial large subunit ribosomal RNA". The record is from Rfam by way of RNAcentral. Lineage: Bacteria; Bacillati; Actinomycetota; Actinomycetes; Kitasatosporales; Streptomycetaceae.
GGCCAAGUUUUUAAGGGCGCACGGUGGAUGCCUUGGCACCAGGAACCGAUGAAGGACGUGGGAGGCCACGAUAGGCCCCGGGGAGCUGUCAACCGAGCUUUGAUCCGGGGGUGUCCGAAUGGGGAAACCCGGCAGUCGUCAUGGGCUGUCACCCGCUGCUGAACACAUAGGCAGUGUGGAGGGAACGCGGGGAAGUGAAACAUCUCAGUACCCGCAGGAAGAGAAAACAACCGUGAUUCCGGGAGUAGUGGCGAGCGAAACCGGAUGAGGCCAAACCAGUCACGUGUGAUACCCGGCAGGGGUUGCGUGGUUGGGGUUGUGGGAUCUCUUUUCUGCAGUCUGCCGGCUGUGGGACGAGUCAGAAACCGUUGAUGUAGGCGAAGGACAUGCGAAAGGUCCGGCGUAGAGGGUAAGACCCCCGUAGCUGAAACAUCAGCGGCUCGUUUAAGAGACACCCAAGUAGCACGGGGCCCGAGAAAUCCCGUGUGAAUCUGGCGGGACCACCCGUUAAGCCUAAAUAUUCCCUGGUGACCGAUAGCGGAUAGUACCGUGAGGGAAUGGUGAAAAGUACCGCGGGAGCGGAGUGAAAUAGUACCUGAAACCGUGUGCCUACAAGCCGUGGGAGCGUCGCACAAGGACUUGUCCUUGUGUCGUGACUGCGUGCCUUUUGAAGAAUGAGCCUGCGAGUUUGCGGUAUGUUGCGAGGUUAACCCGUGUGGGGAAGCCGUAGCGAAAGCGAGUCCGAAGAGGGCGUUGAGUAGCGUGCCCAAGACCCGAAGCGGAGUGAUCUAGCCAUGGGCAGGUUGAAGCGGAGGUAAGACUUCGUGGAGGACCGAACCCACCAGGGUUGAAAACCUGGGGGAUGACCUGUGGUUAGGGGUGAAAGGCCAAUCAAACUCCGUGAUAGCUGGUUCUCCCCGAAAUGCAUUUAGGUGCAGCGUCGUGUGUUUCUUGCCGGAGGUAGAGCACUGGAUAGGCGAUGGGCCCUACCGGGUUACUGACCUUAGCCAAACUCCGAAUGCCGGUAAGUGAGAGCGCGGCAGUGAGACUGUGGGGGAUAAGCUCCAUGGUCGAGAGGGAAACAGCCCAGAGCAUCGACUAAGGCCCCUAAGCGUGUGCUAAGUGGGAAAGGAUGUGGAGUCGCAGAGACAACCAGGAGGUUGGCUUAGAAGCAGCCAUCCUUGAAAGAGUGCGUAAUAGCUCACUGGUCAAGUGAUUCCGCGCCGACAAUGUAGCGGGGCUCAAGCACACCGCCGAAGUCGUGUCAUUGCCACAACAGCCCUAACGGGUGUGGUGAUGGGUAGGGGAGCGUCGUGUGCCGGGUGAAGCAGCCGUGGAAACGAGUUGUGGACGGUUCACGAGUGAGAAUGCAGGCAUGAGUAGCGAUACACACGUGGGAAACGUGUGCGCCGAUUGACUAAGGGUUCCUGGGUCAAGCUGAUCUGCCCAGGGUAAGUCGGGACCUAAGGCGAGGCCGACAGGCGUAGUCGAUGGACAACCGGUUGAUAUUCCGGUACCCGCUUUGAAGCGCCAAACAUCGAGCCCAUUAAUGCUAAGGCCGUGAAGCCGCCCUGAUCUCUUCGGAGUUGAGGGGAGUGGUGGAGCCGCUGACCCAAGGUGGUAGUAGGUGAGUGAUGGGGUGACGCAGGAAGGUAGUCCAGCCCGGGCGGUGGUUGUCCCGGGGUAAGGGUGUAGGACGCUGUCUAGGCAAAUCCGGACAGCAUGAAGUCUGAGACCUGAUGCCGAGCCGAUUGUGGUGAAGUGGAUGAUCCUAUGCUGUCGAGAAAAGCCUCUAGCGAGUUUCAUGGCGGCCCGUACCCUAAACCGACUCAGGUGGUCAGGUAGAGAAUACCGAGGCGUUCGGGUGAACUAUGGUUAAGGAACUCGGCAAAAUGCCCCCGUAACUUCGGGAGAAGGGGGGCCAUUGCUGGUGAUCACUCUUGCAGUGUGAGCUGGUGGUGGCCGCAGAGACCAGCGAGAAGCGACUGUUUACUAAAAACACAGGUCCGUGCGAAGCCGUAAGGCGAUGUAUACGGACUGACGCCUGCCCGGUGCUGGAACGUUAAGGGGACCGGUUAGUCACAUUUCGGUGUGGCGAAGCUGAGAACUUAAGCGCCAGUAAACGGCGGUGGUAACUAUAACCAUCCUAAGGUAGCGAAAUUCCUUGUCGGGUAAGUUCCGACCUGCACGAAUGGCGUAACGACUUCUCGACUGUCUCAACCAUAGGCCCGGUGAAAUUGCAUUACGAGUAAAGAUGCUCGUUUCGCGCAGCAGGACGGAAAGACCCCGGGACCUUUACUAUAGCUUGAUAUUGGUGUUCGGUUCGGCUUGUGUAGGAUAGGUGGGAGACUUUGAAGCGGCCACGCCAGUGGUUGUGGAGUCAUUGUUGAAAUACCACUCUGGUCGUGCUGGAUGUCUAACCUGGGUCCGUGAUCCGGAUCAGGGACAGUGUCUGGUGGGUAGUUUAACUGGGGCGGUUGCCUCCUAAAGGGUAACGGAGGCGCCCAAAGGUUCCCUCAGCCUGGUUGGCAAUCAGGUGUUGAGUGUAAGUGCACAAGGGAGCUUGACUGUGAGACUGACGGGUCGAGCAGGUACGAAAGUAGGGACUAGUGAUCCGGCGGUGGCUUGUGGAAGCGCCGUCGCUCAACGGAUAAAAGGUACCCCGGGGAUAACAGGCUGAUCUUCCCCAAGAGUCCAUAUCGACGGGAUGGUUUGGCACCUCGAUGUCGGCUCGUCGCAUCCUGGGGCUGGAGUCGGUCCCAAGGGUUGGGCUGUUCGCCCAUUAAAGCGGUACGCGAGCUGGGUUUAGAACGUCGUGAGACAGUUCGGUCCCUAUCCGCUGUGCGCGUAGGAGUCUUGAGAAGGGCUGUCCCUAGUACGAGAGGACCGGGACGGACGAACCUCUGGUGUGCCAGUUGUCCUGCCAAGGGCAUGGCUGGUUGGCUACGUUCGGAAAGGAUAACCGCUGAAAGCAUCUAAGCGGGAAGCCUGCUUCGAGAUGAGGGCUCCCACCAACUUGAUUGGUUAAGGCUCCCAGUAGACGACUGGGUUGAUAGGCCAGAUAUGGAAGCCUGGUAACGGGUGGAGUUGACUGGUACUAAUAGGCCGAGGGCUUGUCCUC